Molecule: transfer RNA, 64 nt
Filed under: Escherichia coli
Lineage: Bacteria; Pseudomonadati; Pseudomonadota; Gammaproteobacteria; Enterobacterales; Enterobacteriaceae
Also listed under: 2 other names
Description: tRNA-Gln
Rfam family: tRNA
About the family: Transfer RNA (tRNA) molecules are approximately 80 nucleotides in length. Their secondary structure includes four short double-helical elements and three loops (D, anti-codon, and T loops). Further hydrogen bonds mediate the characteristic L-shaped molecular structure. tRNAs have two regions of fundamental functional importance: the anti-codon, which is responsible for specific mRNA codon recognition, and the 3' end, to which the tRNAs corresponding amino acid is attached (by aminoacyl-tRNA synthetases). tRNAs cope with the degeneracy of the genetic code in two manners: having more than one tRNA (with a specific anti-codon) for a particular amino acid; and 'wobble' base-pairing, i.e. permitting non-standard base-pairing at the 3rd anti-codon position.
Source: RNAcentral
CAAGCGGUAAGGCACCGGAUUCUGAUUCCGGCAUUCCGAGGUUCGAAUCCUCGUACCCCAGCCA